Molecule: ribosomal RNA, 556 nt
Filed under: Enterococcus sp. S173_ASV_20
Lineage: Bacteria; Bacillati; Bacillota; Bacilli; Lactobacillales; Enterococcaceae
Description: bacterial SSU rRNA
Rfam family: Bacterial small subunit ribosomal RNA
Source: RNAcentral
UUUUAUGAGAGUUUGAUCCUGGCUCAGGACGAACGCUGGCGGCGUGCCUAAUACAUGCAAGUCGAACGCUUCUUUUUCCACCGGAGCUUGCUCCACCGGAAAAAGAGGAGUGGCGAACGGGUGAGUAACACGUGGGUAACCUGCCCAUCAGAAGGGGAUAACACUUGGAAACAGGUGCUAAUACCGUAUAACAAUCGAAACCGCAUGGUUUUGAUUUGAAAGGCGCUUUCGGGUGUCGCUGAUGGAUGGACCCGCGGUGCAUUAGCUAGUUGGUGAGGUAACGGCUCACCAAGGCCACGAUGCAUAGCCGACCUGAGAGGGUGAUCGGCCACAUUGGGACUGAGACACGGCCCAAACUCCUACGGGAGGCAGCAGUAGGGAAUCUUCGGCAAUGGACGAAAGUCUGACCGAGCAACGCCGCGUGAGUGAAGAAGGUUUUCGGAUCGUAAAACUCUGUUGUUAGAGAAGAACAAGGAUGAGAGUAACUGUUCAUCCCUUGACGGUAUCUAACCAGAAAGCCACGGCUAACUACGUGCCAGCAGCCGCGGUAAUACGU